AUGAACGCUGGCGGCGUGCCUAAUACAUGCCGGUCGAGCGAACGGACGAGAAGCUUGCUUUUCUGAUGUUAGCGGCGGACGGGUGAGUAACACGUGGAUAACCUACCUAUAAGACUGGGAUAACUUCGGGAAACCGGAGCUAAUACCGGAUAAUAUUUUGAACCGCAUGGUUCAAAAGUGAAAGACGGUCUUGCUGUCACUUAUAGAUGGAUCCGCGCUGCAUUAGCUAGUUGGUAAGGUAACGGCUUACCAAGGCAACGAUGCAUAGCCGACCUGAGAGGGUGAUCGGCCACACUGGAACUGAGACACGGUCCAGACUCCUACGGGAGGCAGCAGUAGGGAAUCUUCCGCAAUGGGCGAAAGCCUGACGGAGCAACGCCGCGUGAGUGAUGAAGGUCUUCGGAUCGUAAAACUCUGUUAUUAGGGAAGAACAUAUGUGUAAGUAACUGUGCACAUCUUGACGGUACCUAAUCAGAAAGCCACGGCUAACUACGUG
Molecule: ribosomal RNA, 496 nt
Filed under: uncultured bacterium
Lineage: Bacteria
Description: partial 16S ribosomal RNA
Rfam family: Bacterial small subunit ribosomal RNA
Source: RNAcentral